Molecule: long non-coding RNA, 969 nt
Organism: Drosophila arizonae
Lineage: Eukaryota; Metazoa; Arthropoda; Insecta; Diptera; Drosophilidae
Source: RefSeq, a predicted model, not a curated record
AAGCGCGACGCAGCAGUCGCUGGCGACGCUCGAUUCGGCAUUCAGCUCGGACACACCAGCUCUCGGUUCGUUGUGGACGCUAAGUUAAUAUAUCGCAGUUAAUAGCAAAGGCAGCGGCAGUGGCAGUGGCAGCGGCAGCGGCAGUGACGCAGGCAGCGACAGCGACAGCGCUAGCCAACAAUAAAAGCGAAAGGAAGAGCAACAACAAAUGGUAGCUGCUCCUGUGUGUGAGAGGGCACUUUAUUUGUUGUUGCAUUUGCCAUUUACCAUUGUUGUUGUUGUUGUUGUUGUUGCCAUUUUACGCUAGCUACUGCUGCUGCUGUUGGUGCUGCUGCUGCGUUCGCCGCGCUUUACAUUCUCGCUCCAUUCGCUUCAUUCCGUUCCACUCGCCAUUUUGUCGGCAACGUGCCCUGUGGAAGGUGGACGCGAAUUUUUUGUGUGUGUGUGUUUUGUGCUUUUUGUUUUGGUUUCAUGUGUGUGCGUGUGCCUGUGUGUGUAAAUUUGUGAGUGUGUGUGUGAUUUUUUUUUCUGCUGUUUUUGUUGUUGCCAUCAUUGCUUUAAGUAUUUUUAGUGUUCGCGUGCGAAAUUCGGUGUCAAAGUGAAACAUUCUACGUGAGAUGCGAAAGCAAAAGCAUCAGAGCAUUAGCAAUAACUUUUCUUAAGUGCCAAACAAACAGCAAGUGAAAAAUAUUAUAAAAAAAAAAAAAAACAAAAACAAAAUACGGCAAAAGCAAUUACAAAUCUCAAACCAAAAAUUACAACAAUUAAAAAUCAAUAUAAAUAAGUUACAAAGUAUAUGAGAAGCUACAUAAAGCUGGCCCAAAUAUUGAGUUGAGUAACUCUACUCGCAAAGCAGCAACAGCAACAACAACAACAGCUGAAGGGCCAGCCCACGUAGGAGCUGUGCAGCGCCAGUGAAAGUGGAAGAGGAAGAAGAAGUGGAAGUGGAAGCGACAGUAGCAGUGGCAG